AUUUUGGACAAUGGGUGCAACCCUGAUCCAGCCAUCCCGCGUGUGCGAUGAAGGCCUUAGGGUUGUAAAGCACUUUUGGCAGGGAAGAAAAGGCGCCGGAUAAUACCUGGCGCCGCUGACGGUACCUGCAGAAUAAGCACCUGCUACCUACGUGCUAGGAGCCGCGGUAAGACGUAGGGUGCAAGUGUUAACCGGAAUUACUGGGCGUAAAGCGUGCGCAGGCGGUUCGGAAAGAAAGAUGUGAAAUCCCAGGGCUUAACCUUGGAACUGCAUUUUUAACUGCCGGGCUAGAGUAUGUCAGAGGGGGGUAGAAUUCCACGUGUAGCAGUGAAAUGCGUAGAGAUGUGGAGGAAUACCGAUGGCGAAGGCAGCCCCCUGGGAUAAUACUGACGCUCAUGCACGAGAGCGUGGGGAGCAAACA
This 421-nucleotide ribosomal RNA is filed under the name uncultured bacterium. Its description in RNAcentral is "partial 16S ribosomal RNA". It matches the Rfam family "Bacterial small subunit ribosomal RNA", at positions 361 to 774 of the family's 1533-position model. The record is from RNAcentral.